UCCGGUUGAUCCUGCCAGAGGUUACUGCUAUCGGGGUUCGACUAAGCCAUGCGAGUCGAAUGUAGCAAUACAUGGSGUACUGCUCARUAACACGUGGAUAACCUGCCCUUAGGACGGGGAUAAACCCGGGAAACUGGGUAUAAUACCCGAUAGAUCUCGACUGCUGGAAUGCAUUGAGCUUGAAAGCUCCGGCACCUAAGGAUGGAUCUGCGGCCUAUCAGGUAGUAGUGGGUGUAGCGUACCCACUAGCCUACGACGGGUACSGGUUGUGAGAGCAAGAGCCCGGAGAUGGAUUCUGAGACACGAAUCCAGGCCCUACGGGGUGCAGCAGGCGCGAAAACUUUACAAUGCCGGCAACGGCGAUAAGGGGACCUCGAGUGCCAGGUUACAAAUCUGGCUGUCGUGAUGCCUAAAAAGCAUUGCAUAGCAWGGGCCGGGCAAGACCGGUGCCAGCCGCCGCGGURACACCGRCSGCUCGAGUGGUAACCGUUAUUAUUGGGUCUAAAGGGUCUGUAGCCGGCCGGAUAAGUCUSUUGGGAAAUCUGGCAGCUUAACUGUCAGGCUUUCAGGAGAUACUGUCUGGCUCGAGGCCGGGAGAGGUGAGAGGUACUUCAGGGGUAGGGGUGAAAUCUUGUAAUCCUUGAAGGAUCACCAGUGGCGAASGCGUCUCACCAGAACGGACCUGACGGCWAGGGACGAAAGCUAGGGGCACGAACCGGAUUASAUACCCGGGUAGUCCUGGCCGUAAACGAUACUCGCUAGGUGUCGGCCACKGUGCGACCGUUGUCGGUGCCGUAGGGAAGCCGUGAAGCGAGCCACCUGGGAAGUACGGCCGCAAGGCUGARACUUAAAGGAAUUGGCGGGGGAGCA
Molecule: ribosomal RNA, 870 nt
Filed under: uncultured Methanosaeta sp.
Lineage: Archaea; Methanobacteriati; Methanobacteriota; Methanomicrobia; Methanotrichales; Methanotrichaceae
Description: bacterial SSU rRNA
Rfam family: Archaeal small subunit ribosomal RNA
Source: RNAcentral